UACGCACUUUCUCAUCUUCAAGUUCACCAUAUACUUCAGCCUCCUCUACAUAUGUCCCAUAAAAAUAACAAAAUCAAUGCAUGAUUUAUAAUUCUGUAAGUGCAAAAAUUAUGAAAAUUUUUUGCUUAGCAUUUUCAUAUGCUUCAAAACCUU
This 153-nucleotide small RNA is filed under the name Arabidopsis thaliana (thale cress). Its description in RNAcentral is "ATSL207360". The record is from RNAcentral. Lineage: Eukaryota; Viridiplantae; Streptophyta; Magnoliopsida; Brassicales; Brassicaceae.